ACCGGCGCACGGGUGAGUAACGCGUAUCCAACCUGCCCACCACUUGGGGAUAACCUUGCGAAAGUAAGACUAAUACCCAAUGGUGAUGGAUGGGGAUGCGUCUGAUUAGCUUGUUGGCGGGGUAACGGCCCACCAAGGCUACGAUCAGUAGGGGUUCUGAGAGGAAGGUCCCCCACAUUGGAACUGAGACACGGUCCAAACUCCUACGGGAGGCAGCAGUGAGGAAUAUUGGUCAAUGGACGAGAGUCUGAACCAGCCAAGUAGCGUGCAGGAUGACGGCCUAUGGGUUGUAAACUGCUUUUAUAAGGGAAUAUGUACCUUAUGAAUAAGGACCGGCUAAUUCCGUGCCAGCAGCCGCGGUAAUACGGAAGGUCCGGGCGUUAUCCGGAUUUAUUGGGUUUAAAGGGAGCGUAGGCCGGAGAUUAAGCGUGUUGUGAAAUGUAGAUGCUCAACAUCUGCACUGCAGCGCGAACUGGUUUCCUUGAGUACGCACAAAGUGGGCGGAAUUCGUGGUGUAGCGGUGAAAUGCUUAGAUAUCACGAAGAACUCCGAUUG
RNAcentral lists this ribosomal RNA (555 nucleotides) under uncultured bacterium. RNAcentral's name for it is "bacterial SSU rRNA". It matches the Rfam family "Bacterial small subunit ribosomal RNA", at positions 94 to 715 of the family's 1533-position model. The record is from RNAcentral.